UACAGAGGUCUCAAGCGUUGUUCGGAUUCAUUGGGCGUAAAGGGUGCGUAGGCGGCGCGGUAAGUCGGGUGUGAAAUCCCUCAGCUUAACUGAGGAAGUGCGCCCGAAACUGCCGAGCUUGAGUACCGGAGAGGGUGGCGGAAUUCCCCAAGUAGAGGUGAAAUUCGUAGAUAUGGGGAGGAACACCGGUGGCGAAGGCGGCCACCUGGACGGAUACUGACGCUGAGACGCGAAAGCGUGGGGAGCAAACAGG
RNAcentral lists this ribosomal RNA (253 nucleotides) under uncultured bacterium. RNAcentral's name for it is "partial 16S ribosomal RNA". It matches the Rfam family "Bacterial small subunit ribosomal RNA", at positions 524 to 776 of the family's 1533-position model. The record is from RNAcentral.